AUGUAAGAGGCAACACAAAGAAGGUUGGAAGAAGCAUGCAGAAGGGAUGUCCACAAGGAUCAAUAAUUGGUCCUGUUGCAUGGAACUUCUGCAUGGACGUUCUUCUAGACGGCCUAGUUCAGCUAGGAGAAAAUGUGGAACCCAUUGCAUACGCAGAUGACUUGGCGUUAAUAAUUAAAGGAAACUCCAGAAAUGACCUGGAGAGAACUGGUACCAUGGCUCUUAAAUGCGUUGAGGACUGGUGCGUGACGCAUAAAGUGAGAGUCAGCAGUGGAAAAACUGUCGCAAUGAUGAUGAAGGGCAAAUUUAAUGAAGGCAGACAACCGAUUAUCAAAGUUGACAAGAAUAGCCUGAAAUAUACAAAAGAAGUGCGAUACUUGGGAAUUACUAUAGAUAACAGGCUAAACUUUGUAGCGCACACUAAGUUUCUGAGGGAGAAGCUAGUCAGCUUCAUCUUGAAAAUCAAGAGGGUUGCAAAGGAGGAAUGGGGCCUUAAAAGAGGCACCCUUGACACUUUGUACAAAGCAGUGAUAAUACCUAUAGCAACAUACAGCGCUGCUGCGUGGUUCGACAAGUCGUCCCACACACACAACCUUAGAAACUUGAACGCCGCGCAAAGAAUAAUUCUUUUGACACUCACCAAGGCGUGCCGUACCACCGCAACAAAUGCAUUACAAACAAUAAGUGGCAAAAUGCCACUAGACCUAGAAAUUACACAACAAGGCAUCAUAAACCUUGUAAAAAGAAACGAGAAAGUUAGCUGGAACAAUUAUAAUUUCAAUCCAAUAGCGAACCCAAGCAGGGAAACCCUCAAUCUAGAGGUUAAAAUGAUAAAUGAAGCAAUAAAGCUGGAAUGGCAGAAAAGAUGGGAAUUGGCAAACACGGGUAGGAUAACCUACGGUUUCAUUGGCGAUAUUACAUACGCUACAAGGAACAAGUGGUUUAAACCCAGUAGAGAGUGCGUGUACAUUCUGACCGGAUACGGUCCGUUUAUGCACACACUUUACACAAGGGGCGCCACAGAAGACGACAAAUGUCCCUUCUGUGGAGAAAGUGAGACAAGCACGCACAUGCUGGUCAUGUGCGACAGAUAUGAUGAAGUAAGAAGGCAAAGCCUCUUUGAAAUAGCAGGGAACACAAACCUUGAUGUGUACCUGGAAACCAAAGCCAAUUACCUGGGGCUUGUUGCUUUUGCAGCACGAGCCAUUAAAACCAGAAAUGAAGUGCAAAACCAAAGCUAAAACCUAUAAUCCAAACUGACGCUAGAAAUGCAGGACCGCCUCCACGUGGUUAGGGAUGGAAACGUCAGCCCACUGACGGCCAAAGGUCCUGCACAACACCCACAAAUAUAAUAUUUAAAUUGAGAAAUAAACAAUUUUUAAGUAGACGCUACAUAGCAAUGAGUGAAAGCUCGAGCUAUACAGAAUAAGAAUAAACAAUGAAUGAAAUGUCCCUAUCUACUUUCUAGCGAAACCACUGCCAAGGGAACGGGCUUGGAAAAAUUAGCGGGGAAAGAAGACCCUGUUGAGUUUGACUCUAGUCUGGCAUUGUAAGGAGACAUGUAAGGUGUAGCAUAAGUGGGAGAUAGUAAUAUCGUCGGUGAAAUACCACUACUUUCAUCGUUUCUUUACUUACUCGAUUGGGCGAAAAGCGUGCGUCGAAAACUUGCGUUCCGACUGUCACGGUUUUCUAGAGCCAAGCGCAUAAGAGUGGUGUGAGCCAUUGCGCCGAUCGCCAACAAUACUCUAGCGUGAUCCGAUUCGAGGAAUCUGCUAGGCGGGGAGUUUGACUGGGGCGGUACAUCUAUCAAAUAAUAACGCAGGUGUCCUAAGGCCAGCUCAGCGAGGACAGAAACCUCGCGUAGAGUAAAAGGGCGAAUUCUGGCUUGAUCCCGUUGUUCAGUGUGCACAGGGACUGCGAAAGCAUGGCCUAUCGAUCCUUUUGGUUUGAAGAGUUUUCAGCAAGAGGUGUCAGAAAAGUUACCACAGGGAUAACUGGCUUGUGGCAGCCAAGCGUUCAUAGCGACGUUGCUUUUUGAUCUUUCGAUGUCGGCUCUUCCUAUCAUUGCAAAGCAGAAUUCGCCAAGCGUUGGAUUGUUCACCCACAAAUAGGGAACGUGAGCUGGGUUUAGACCGUCGUGAGACAGGUUAGUUUUACCCUACUGAUGAAUCGUCGUUGCGAUAGUAAUCCUGCUCAGUACGAGAGGAACCGCAGGUUCGGACAUUUGGUUCACGCACUCGGUCGAGCGGCCGGUGGUGCGAAGCUACCAUCCGUGGGAUUAUGCCUGAACGCCUCUAAGGCCGUAUCCUUUCUAGACAAAGUAAGCAACGAUAUCUCUAGAAGUCUCGUGAGUCGAAAGGCUCAAUACAAUGUGAUUUAUUAGGUAUUCGGCACACGCCGUUUAUCGCACGAGCCAUUUUUAGCCGAAUGAGGCGCUG
RNAcentral lists this ribosomal RNA (2438 nucleotides) under Ctenocephalides felis (cat flea). RNAcentral describes it as "eukaryotic LSU rRNA". The stretch from base 1421 to 2438 matches the Rfam family "Eukaryotic large subunit ribosomal RNA", at positions 1890 to 3267 of the family's 3401-position model. Lineage: Eukaryota; Metazoa; Arthropoda; Insecta; Siphonaptera; Pulicidae. The record is from RNAcentral.